CCUACGGGUGGCUGCAGUGGGGGAUAUUGCACAAUGGGGGAAACCCUGAUGCAGCGACGCCGCGUGGGGGAAGGCGGUCCUCUGGAUGUGAAACCACUGUCGCCAGGAACGAAAAUGACGGUACCUGGGGAGGAAGCUCCGGCUAACUACGUGCCAGCAGCCGCGGUAAUACGUAGGGUGCAAGCGUUAUCCGGAAUUACUGGGGGUAAAGGGAGCGUAGGCGGGGCUUCAAGCCUGGUGUGAAAGCCCGCGGCCCAACCGGGAGACUGCAUUGAGAACUGGCGCGCUGGAGUGCCGGAGGGGUAGGCGGAAUUCCUAGUGUAGCGGUGAAAUGCGUAGAUAUUAGGAGGAACACCAGUGGCGAAGGCGGCCUACUGGACGGUGACUGACGCUGAGGCUCGAAAGCGUGGGGAGCAAACAGGAUUAGAUACCCCAGUAGUC
RNAcentral lists this ribosomal RNA (441 nucleotides) under uncultured bacterium. RNAcentral describes it as "partial 16S ribosomal RNA". It matches the Rfam family "Bacterial small subunit ribosomal RNA", at positions 338 to 795 of the family's 1533-position model. The record is from RNAcentral.